AUGGAAUUGCAGGAGCUCAAGCCUGCCAUCGGCCGUCCGCGACCUCCGCCUCCCGUCAGACUCCACCAUGCCGACGAGCUCCAGCAGGUCCCCAGCACCGCUCCACCUUGUCUCCAACUCCAGUCAUGGCCUCGCCCCGCUUGCUGCUUCUCCUUCCCGUUUGCUUCCUCUGCAUCAGGCCAGCGCCUCGACGAGAACCCCGCCCUUGCCUUGUCUUGGCCGGUGGAUCCGAACGCCCAAGACCGUGCCGCCCGGAUUCAUGCAGCUCCGCCGCCCCUUCUCCGGCCCCUGCCCGCUGGAGCCGCGUCUCCCUGUGCCCCUGCCGCCGACCUCUGCUUCCUCUUCUUUGAGAAGGAGUGCUCGUCCAAGUCCUGUGCUGCCUCUGUUCAAGAGGAGGACGACGGGUUCGACGCCCGCGUUGACUGUGCCACGUCCACAAGCGUUCGUCUGGUGGGCUCCAAGGCCCAGCUGUGCGCCCCUGCCGGCCUCCCUCCUCCACCGAACGGGACGAGGCCCAUGGUGAGCCUCCAGCGCCCCUGCAACUGUUGGGGCAGGCUGCAAAUUUGGCCCGGUGUAGUUUUUUUCCGUGUCCGUGAUUUUUUCUAUUAUUCCAGUGUUUUGCAAUUUUGCAAAAAAGUCCCCCUAGAUCAUGCACUCAAUAACUCACAAAUGGUGCAACGGAUUAAAAUGAUUUAUAUAUUAAAAAUGACUAGAAUUUCAUAUAGUUUCAUAAUCUCCAACUUUCAUGCAUGUUUAAAAUGUUUAAAAUGCUGUUUGUUUAAAUUUGCUUAA
RNAcentral lists this ribosomal RNA (792 nucleotides) under Triticum aestivum (bread wheat). RNAcentral's name for it is "partial small subunit ribosomal RNA". The record is from RNAcentral. Lineage: Eukaryota; Viridiplantae; Streptophyta; Magnoliopsida; Poales; Poaceae.